UUACAGCAGCGCCGCAGCGGCUCGCGCGCGUCACUACGCGUUUAAAAGCCAUAUCCACAUAUAAAAACAUGGCCUACCCUUGCAGCGAAAGACGGACGCUCGAAGUAGGUUUUUGGCGUUCGUUUUGUCUUCAGGCACACAACGGGAGCCUUGCCUCGAGGAAGCCCCUUGCCUUCUGGGAUACGAUGCUCUCGUAGUGACGGAACGGCGCGCGCUGUUUUUGUCAUCCACGUGCUGCCGUGGUGCGGUGGUGCCGAGAUUUUCGCUUCUGAGAAAUUCGAAACGAAGCGGCAGUGAAUUUCGGUGGUGCUUGCAAAGUUUGACGGGUGUGCUUCUUCUGGUGGAUCUAUACUGUGCCGCAGUGACCUCUGGGAGUGAUCGAGCGUAUAGGUGGUGACUGGGUGAAGACAGAGAGAAGAGAAGAAAAAUUGGUGUCUUGUAGUAAGUGAGUGAUGUGAAGUUGGUGUGGUGCGAGGAUAGCGCAGGAUUUUUGUGAAGUUCAAGCGGUUUUUCUCCUGUGCCCCACCGCUUGGCAGGAGCGCCAAAGACGGGCCAUUCCUUAAAUCUCUCCGACCUCAGAAACAGAAACCACCUCUGCCAAGUCAACAC
Long non-coding RNA from Ornithodoros turicata, 609 nucleotides. RefSeq lists it as uncharacterized. The transcript is spliced from 3 exons. NCBI's taxonomy places the organism in Eukaryota, Metazoa, Arthropoda, Arachnida, Ixodida, Argasidae. The record is from RefSeq and is a predicted model, not a curated record.